Molecule: non-coding RNA, 71 nt
Organism: Phrynosoma platyrhinos (Desert horned lizard)
Lineage: Eukaryota; Metazoa; Chordata; Lepidosauria; Squamata; Phrynosomatidae
Source: the annotation of a GenBank genome assembly
GCCGGCAUGGCAUAGUGGUUUGGACAUUAGACUACAACUCUGGAGACCAGGUUUCAAUUCCUAGCUUGGCC